Molecule: long non-coding RNA, 2818 nt
Filed under: Homo sapiens (human)
Lineage: Eukaryota; Metazoa; Chordata; Mammalia; Primates; Hominidae
Description: HSALNT0263399
Source: RNAcentral
GCAGUUCCCUCCUCAGAACAGUUUUGAAGGUUCUGGGUGCAGAGGAAGCUGAAGAUUCUCCAGCAACAGGGUGGCAGGCCUUGGAUCUGAGUAUGUCCCCUGGGUCCCAGAGGUCUGGUGUCUACUAUGAGGAGUCCAUGCCUGCAUAAGUAUUAAUACUUGUUUUGCACCAGAGCGUGGAGACUGCAUUGUAUCAAAGGGCUUUUGGGAGACCAGAAGGAUGGAAAAGGAAAAUCUGGAUAUUUUAGCUCUGCUGAUUGGCUGCCCUGGCAACAGACCAAAUGACUCCAAAAAUAACUCUCCAGCUCUGACCCGUCUCCUGAACUUCAGAUGCAUCUGUCCGUGUGCCUACUUAACAGCUCCACUUUGAUGACGAACCAACAUUAUAUUUAACAUGUUUAAAAUGGAACUGUUAAUUCAGUUCCAUUCCACCACCAAACCCAUCCCUCCACCUGUCUUCCUCAUCUCAUCCAUUGCUCAACCUUGUCAUGAAGUCAUCUCCAAUCCUCCCUCUCCAUUGCCUUUCACAUUCAGUCCCCAAGCAAGUCCUGUCACUUCCAAUUUUAGGCUCACCUCCCGUUAGUCAAUUUCUCUCCAUCUCUGCUGGCACCACCUAGCUUAGAUUACCCAUUGACUCUGGGUUUACUGCAAUAACCUCACAUCUGAAUUUUCUGAUUAUUUGCUUUCCCCUUGUCUACUUGCUCCACGGAAGUCAUUGUGAUUUCUUAAAAUGUAAAUCUUGUAUUUGCUUGGUGUAAUUUGCAAUCUGGGCAGUGAGACAUCUGAGAGUCUCUACCUCUGCAAUGUCGUCCCAUUGUUUAAAUAAAUCCCAAAGUCUCCACUGUGACCAGUAUCCCUGUGUAAUCUGUCUCCUGCCCAUACCUCCAGCAUUGUCCCAUGUCCCAUUGCUCACACUCUCCAGCCCCACUGGUUCCCUACCAUUUCCUGAACCUUCCAUGCUCCUUCAUACCUUAAAGUUUGGCAUAAUAGGUUCCCUCCAACAAGAAGGUAUUUCCCAGGCUCUUUGAAACUUCCAGAUGUCAGCCCAAAUGUUCCUGUUUCAGAAAGGCUACUAGCUUACCAUUCUGUCUAGCUAGCAGCACUUCAUUAUUAACUCUGUGAAGAUCUCUAUCCUAGCAAUCCCCAUUAUUUGUGCACUGUUUUUAUUUUCUUCAGAGCACUCAUCACAUUUGAAAUUCUUUCUUCCUUCCUCCCUCCCUCCCUCCCCUGUAUCACUCCCACCUUUCUUUCCUUUCUAUCUGUCCUCAUCAGACUGUACCCUCACCACAAGGGUGAGGACCACUUUUACCAAUGCUUACUAAUGUUUGCUCAGUGCCCACACAGUGCUUGAAAUAUAGUGUGCGCUCAGGAAUAUGUGUGGAAUAAACAAAGGCAUAGCCUUCUUUGAAAUGAACAAAUGUUCAUCUGGAAACUCUGGACUGGGCUUCCUUAGGAUAUGGGUGGUUUCCUUAAAAGGAUAGGCAAUCUUUAUGUUCAAGUUGUGACUUUUCUGGCAGCUUCAUUUUUCCUCUGGCUUCAAGGUAUGCAACACCUGGGAUAUCCUCUAUGUCCUUCUUGAUGUAUGAUUUGGGGACAUCCUCUAUGUCCUUUUUGAAGUAUGAUUGGGGGAAUGAGGAACUAGCUAAAGUUUUUGAGAAAAUGUUACAUGUAUAUAUCACACACACACACACGUUUUUGAGACAGGGUCUUGCUCUGUCCCUCAGGCUGGAGUGCAAUGGCGCCAUCACAGCUCACUGUAGACUCUUCCUCUUGGGCUCAAGUGAUUCUCACAUUUCAGCCUCCUGAGUACUUAACAGGUAUGUGUUAUCACACCCAGCUAAUUAAAAAAAAUUUUUUUUUGUAGAGACCAAGUCUCAUUACGUUGCCAAGGCAAUAUAUACCCAGGUCUUGAAUUCUUGUUCUCAAGUGGUCUUCCUGCCUUGCACCCCCAAAGUAUUAGGGUAACAUGUGUGAGUCACUGGAACCCCAAGAAAAUGUUUUAAGAGGCCAUUUUGAUGUAAAGGAUGGAUGCGAGGCUCCAGAGCAAGACCUGGAAGGAGGCUGUUGGAGUGACCUAGGGAACUUUGCCUCAUCCUAGUCCUGGCUCUGCUUCAAGGGGGAGGUAAAUUAUAAUUCUUGUUUCAUGAUACCCUCAUCAUUGAAGAAGGCCAAGACAUCCUCAAGGUCCUCAACAUUGGAGCCCAGGAAUGGGAAUAUUGAAGCUGAAGCACCUCUAUUUUUUAUAUAUUAUGGAUCUACCUACUGCUAUGGAAGAUGAUGCUCUAGCUCUCUUACAGCUCCUUCUACCUGCCAUCCAUAUUUCUCCGCCUCACAUCCUCCUAUUAAAGACACAUCAUAAUUUUUUGUUUUAUCAGUAUUCAGCAUUUAUAUUAUUAUGACCAAAUGAGCAUUAUUCAUAAUUGGGCCAUGUAAUAUAUCAUAAUCAUAUUUCCUGUCUUGUACAGCUUUUUGUUUUCCGUGGAGGUUUUUAAUAUAUAUUUUUUAAUUUUUAAUUUUUGUGGGUAUGUAGUAGGUGUAUAUAUUUACAGGGUACAUGAGAUGUUUUGACAUAGGCAUGCAAUGUGUAACAAUCACAUCAUGGAAAAUGGGGUAUCCAACCCCUCGAACAUUUAUCCUUCAUGUUACAAAUAAUCCAAUUACACUCUUUUAGCUAUUUUAAAAUGUACAAUUAAAUUAUUGUUGACUGUCAUCAUGCUGUUCUUUUAAUGGUGUCAUUAUUUUCAUUUGCUUCAUUUUCUAUGAACUUAUGACAAACUCAUCCCCAAGCUUUCUGCCAGAUUUCCUUCAUGUUUGAAAC